GCCUGAUGCAGCGACGCCGCGUGAGGGAUGACGGCCUUCGGGUUGUAAACCUCUUUCAAUAGGGACGAAGCGUAAGUGACGGUACCUAUAGAAGAAGCACCGGCCAACUACGUGCCAGCAGCCGCGGUAAUACGUAGGGUGCGAGCGUUGUCCGGAAUUACUGGGCGUAAAGAGCUCGUAGGUGGUUUGUCGCGUUGUUCGUGAAAACUCACAGCUUAACUGUGGGCGUGCGGGCGAUACGGGCAGACUGGAGUACUGCAGGGGAGACUGGAAUUCCUGGUGUAGCGGUGGAAUGCGCAGAUAUCAGGAGGAACACCGGUGGCGAAGGCGGGUCUCUGGGCAGUAACUGACGCUGAGGAGCGAAAGCGUGGGGAGCGAACAGGAUUAGAUACCCUGGUAGUCCACGCCGUAAACGGUGGGUACUAGGUGUGGGUUUCCUUCCUUGGGAUCCGUGCCGUAGCUAACGCAUUAAGUACCCCGCCUGGGGAGUACGGCCGCAAGGCUAAAACUCAAAGGAAUUGACGGGGGCCCGCACAAGCGGCGGAGCAUGUGGAUUAAUUCGAUGCAACGCGAAGAACCUUACCUGGGUUUGACAUGCACAGGACGCCGGCAGAGAUGUCGGUUCCCUUGUGGCCUG
RNAcentral lists this ribosomal RNA (637 nucleotides) under Mycobacterium sp. Se1Pw_3163. RNAcentral's name for it is "bacterial SSU rRNA". It matches the Rfam family "Bacterial small subunit ribosomal RNA", at positions 381 to 1030 of the family's 1533-position model. The record is from RNAcentral. Lineage: Bacteria; Bacillati; Actinomycetota; Actinomycetes; Mycobacteriales; Mycobacteriaceae.